This 479-nucleotide ribosomal RNA is filed under the name Homidia sichuanensis. RNAcentral's name for it is "partial 16S ribosomal RNA". It matches the Rfam family "Bacterial large subunit ribosomal RNA", at positions 1831 to 2597 of the family's 2925-position model. Lineage: Eukaryota; Metazoa; Arthropoda; Collembola; Entomobryomorpha; Entomobryidae. The record is from RNAcentral.
UCUUUUUGUGUCCUGUAAAAAGUAUAGCCUGCCCGCUGAUUUAAUUUGAAGGGCCGCGGUAUUAUGACCGUGCUAAGGUAGCAUAAUCAUUAGUCUCUUAAUUAGAGAAUGGAAUGAAUGGCUUAACCUAGAAAUUUUUUAUUAAUUUAUAAAAAUUUUGAAUUUUAAAUUAAAGUGAAAAUGCUUUUAUUUUCCUAAAAGACGAUAAGACCCUAUAGAGCUUAAUCUAACUUAAUUUAAUUGUUUUAGGGGGGAAAACAAUUAAAUUAAGUUAGAUUUAGUUGGGGCAACUUGAGAAUAAAAAAAACUUCUUAAAAUUUAUCUUAAACUUUAAAAGUUAAAAAGUUACCUUAGGGAUAACAGCGUUAUAGUUUUUGAGAGUUCUAAUCGAUAAAACUGUUUGCGACCUCGAUGUUGAAUUAAAAAAUCUUUUAGGGGCAGAAUUUUAAAAAGAUAGUCUGUUCGACUAUGCAAAUUUU